UUGUUGAAAAAUAAUAAUUCUCUAAAGACUUAUAAUAUAAUAUUAAUUAUUUAUUCUUUCUUAAACUUAUCAUGAUGCUAUACCUUGGUAAGUCUUGUAGUUGUACUGCUAGGGCGGCCGCGCGGUCGGGCGCAAUAGCGGCAGCAGCGACAUCCACAACGUGACGGAGCUGUCCGUGCCCCACGCCGUGGGCGCCGCGUUCCACAAGGCGCUCCGCGCCAUCGCCGCGCGCGAGGGGUUCCGCGGCAAGGCCAUCGUCCGGACGCUGACGCCCGCGCACAUCGAGAACGGGGAGUCGAACGCCGGCGGCGACUGCGUCUGCACGCGCCCGUUCCGGCGCGGCGAGCGCGCCUGGGCGCCAUCGAGGCCGAGUUCCGCGCCGCGCAGGUUGAUGCGGUCAGGGAGACAGAGGCGGCGGCGCAGCGGAACGGCGAGGAGCUGCGGCUGCUGGACAUCACGGAGGCAAUGGCCCUACGGCCGGACGAGCACCCGAGCCGGUACGGCCACCUGCCGGGCGGGAGCGUGGAGGGGAGCUUCGUGGUGGAUUGCCUGCACUGGUGCUUGCCGGGGCCGAUCAACCUGUGGAGCGAGCUGCUGUUCGACAUGCUAGCUGCUCGUCAUUAGCUGCUGUUCCACGUGCUAGCUGCCCCUGGGUCGGCUUCAACAAUCCAUUCCUUUUGCGUCGCCUUCCACGGUUCCACCAACGAAGCAACAGAGGAGCCGCCAUUAAAACAAAUCUGUUGUAAUCCGUGGCCGCAGGAGGAGCUGCUUCCCACCAAAUUGAGUCCGACGCCAUUGAGAAAGCUGUGGCCGUUGCCAGGUGCCAAGCAGCUAUGAGGAGAUUGACUGAUUGAGACCGUAUUAGGUUGUACAUACGUGCCUGUGCCUGCCGCGCCCCCGACGCGCCCACGACGACAGCAAUCUUGUGCCGCCUUGCCAACCUCAACAAACCCUAACUGAGUCUAUUACUAGGAACUUAGGAUUGUAGUCUUCGUUUAUUUGGCUUUGGUAUCUCGCUAGCGGGCACUUCCCUUGUGUGCAUUCCAGCCUCCUGUACAGAUACUUGCAUGAUAAAUGAAUCAGAAGUACUUCAGUUAUCUUGCA
This is a long non-coding RNA of Phragmites australis (common reed), 1104 nucleotides long. RefSeq lists it as uncharacterized. NCBI's taxonomy places the organism in Eukaryota, Viridiplantae, Streptophyta, Magnoliopsida, Poales, Poaceae. The record is from RefSeq and is a predicted model, not a curated record. The transcript has 2 exons.